UUCAGACGAAGAGCAGGACUCCGACGAUGAACGUUUGUAUUUUGAAGAGCGACUUGAUCCAGCUGAGGAUAUAAUUUCUGAAGAGAAUGUGGCAGCAUCACUCUCCUCUUCAGCGGGCAUUUGCAGAAAUGCGACGGACAUUCAUACAGGGUAAGUCACAUUUGCGGGCUUUUCUGUUUUAUUAGUAGACUUUUACUGAUGUUUUGCGUAGUAAUUUGGAAAAUACAAGAUGUAUAUAUAUAAACAUAUCUGUAUUUUCCGAAAAUACAUGAUACAAAUAAUGUUUUUAAUUUUUUUUUAGUAACGUGGCUUCAUCAUCAUUUACUCGCACGGGGGCAUGCAGAAACGAACCCGAAAUAAAUAAAGUGAUACAAUUUAUAUAUAUAUUUUUUAAGGUAAAAUGUAAGGCAAAAUUUGUUUAAUUAUUCCUCAUAACAUUUUUAUGCCACGAUCUACAGAACA
This is a non-coding RNA of Misgurnus anguillicaudatus (oriental weatherfish), 462 nucleotides long. Lineage: Eukaryota; Metazoa; Chordata; Actinopteri; Cypriniformes; Cobitidae. The record is from RefSeq and is a predicted model, not a curated record.